CUUGCUUCUCUUGAGAGCGGCGGACGGGUGAGUAAUGCCUAGGAAUCUGCCUGGUAGUGGGGGAUAACGUUCGGAAACGGACGCUAAUACCGCAUACGUCCUACGGGAGAAAGCAGGGGACCUUCGGGCCUUGCGCUAUCAGAUGAGCCUAGGUCGGAUUAGCUAGUUGGUGGGGUAAUGGCUCACCAAGGCGACGAUCCGUAACUGGUCUGAGAGGAUGAUCAGUCACACUGGAACUGAGACACGGUCCAGACUCCUACGGGAGGCAGCAGUGGGGAAUAUUGGACAAUGGGCGAAAGCCUGAUCCAGCCAUGCCGCGUGUGUGAAGAAGGUCUUCGGAUUGUAAAGCACUUUAAGUUGGGAGGAAGGGUUGUAGAUUAAUACUCUGCAAUUUUGACGUUACCGACAGAAUAAGCACCGGCUAACCCUGUGCCAGCAGCCGCGGUAAUACAGAGGGUGCAAGCGUUAAUCGGAAUUACUGGGCGUAAAGCGCGCGUA
Molecule: ribosomal RNA, 498 nt
Filed under: uncultured bacterium
Lineage: Bacteria
Description: bacterial SSU rRNA
Rfam family: Bacterial small subunit ribosomal RNA
Source: RNAcentral